RNAcentral lists this ribosomal RNA (440 nucleotides) under uncultured bacterium. Its description in RNAcentral is "bacterial SSU rRNA". It matches the Rfam family "Bacterial small subunit ribosomal RNA", at positions 338 to 770 of the family's 1533-position model. The record is from RNAcentral.
CCUACGGGUGGCUGCAGUGGGGAAUAUUGGACAAUGGGGGCAACCCUGAUCCAGCCAUGCCGCGUGUGUGAAGAAGGCUCUAGGGUUGUAAAGCACUUUCAACAGGGAGGAAAAGUGAGUAGUUAAUACCUGCUCACCCUGACGUUACCUGUAGAAGAAGUACCGGCAAACUCCGUGCCAGCAGCCGCGGUAAUACGGAGGGUGCGAGCGUUAAUCGGAAUUACUGGGCGUAAAGCGCGCGUAGGCGGCUUGUUAAGCUGGAUGUGAAAUCCCCGGGCUCAACCUGGGAACUGCACCCAGAACUGGCAAGCUAGAGUACGGUAGAGGUGAGUGGAAUUUCCUGUGUAGCGGUGAAAUGCGUAGAUAUAGGAAGGAACAUCAGUGGCGAAGGCGGCUCACUGGACUGAUACUGACGCUGAGGUGCGAAAGCGUGGGGAGCA